GACGAACGCUGGCGGCGUGCUUAACACAUGCAAGUCGAACGGAAAGGCCCUGCUUGCAGGGUACUCGAGUGGCGAACGGGUGAGUAACACGUGGGUGAUCUGCCCUGCACUUCGGGAUAAGCCUGGGAAACUGGGUCUAAUACCGGAUAGGAGCCAUUUUUAGUGUGAUGGUUGGAAAGUUUUUUCGGUGUAGGAUGAGCUCGCGGCCUAUCAGCUUGUUGGUGGGGUAAUGGCCUACCAAGGCGGCGACGGGUAGCCGGCCUGAGAGGGUGGACGGCCACAGUGGGACUGAGAUACGGCCCAGACUCCUACGGGAGGCAGCAGUGGGGAAUAUUGCACAAUGGGCGCAAGCCUGAUGCAGCGACGCCGCGUGGGGGACGACGGCCUUCGGGUUGUAAACUCCUUUCGCUAGGGACGAAGCUUUUUGUGACGGUACCUAGAUAAGAAGCACCGGCUAACUACGUG
This 465-nucleotide ribosomal RNA is filed under the name uncultured bacterium. Its description in RNAcentral is "partial 16S ribosomal RNA". It matches the Rfam family "Bacterial small subunit ribosomal RNA", at positions 28 to 507 of the family's 1533-position model. The record is from RNAcentral.